GCCGGUGGCAUGGUGCGGUUCCAGGAUUGUCACCUUGUGAACCGAGGGUUCGAAUCCCUCCACCGGCUCCA
This 71-nucleotide transfer RNA is filed under the name Patescibacteria group bacterium. Its description in RNAcentral is "tRNA-OTHER". The record is from RNAcentral. RNAcentral also lists the same sequence under 1 other name.